Molecule: long non-coding RNA, 2951 nt
Organism: Sapajus apella (tufted capuchin)
Lineage: Eukaryota; Metazoa; Chordata; Mammalia; Primates; Cebidae
Exons: 2
Source: RefSeq, a predicted model, not a curated record
AGACCAGCCUGAGCAACAUGGAGAAACCCGUCUCUAAAAAAAAAAAAAAGACCCUUCUUAGAACUUUGAAGAAAAAUCUUUAGUAACUAAUCUAAGUAACAGUUUGGGAUUCAAUUUAACUGUUACUUUGUUACUUGCUUAUAUUUGUAGAAAGCAACUAUUUAUUGCGAGCAUACUAUUUGUCAGAUGAUUUGGGAAAUUAGGACAUACAAAACUGCUUUAGAAUAAUAGAAAUAUUCAUUAAUAAAAAUGGUUUAAAAUUACCAUUUAGUUACAUGGGUUUUUUUAUGUUUAGAUGGGAAAAUGAGGCUACAUUUGUGUGCCAGUAAAAAUGAAUACAAGUGUGCCUUGGUUUGGUUAUAGGUAUGCUUCUUGGGAUGAUUUCUAUUAUUAGAAACUAUGACUGUUUCAUGCUUUUAAAGUCUGCUAAAUAUAGAUGUUUUUCCAAGUAACUUUUUCAUGCAAAGUACUUUUAAAAAUUAUUAAUCUUUACUAAAAACCUGAGUAUUUUAGUAGUUCAUUAAAGCCCUACUUUUGAUUUUCCUUUUGCUGGAUUAAUAGGCCUACACCAAGACCUGUGUUUUGUAUAUUCUUGUAGAAAAGAGAUAAAUUUUCUCCCUAAAGGGUAGACACCUUGCUAAAGUGUUUAAUGAUUGAAUUUUAUAUUUGAAUCCCAAGUUCAGUUUUAUGGUAGGUUUCUGCUGUGUUUUAGUUCUUGACUUCACUCCUAAUAUUUCUUAAAGAAUAAAAAAAGUUUUGGUAAAGGAAUUGGAAUGUUCUAAUUACCAUCUGUAUAAUUGGUACUCAGGGCUUAGGUGGGAAAUGAAAUAAAUUACUCUGGUAAUUUAUUUGGUAAAAUGUUACUCUGGUAAAAUGUUUUUCUAGAUAGACUUUUUAUGGUUACUGGACUGAUAAGUUUAAAGGACUAAAGUUAUGUUUUGAAUCUGAAAUCGAAGAGCCAGUAAGAACAGUGUGAAUCAUAAGAUGUAAAGGGAUAGGAGAUCUCCAACACUACUACUAAUAUUGAGCAGAUCUUAUUACCCUGCACACAAAAUUAUUCCUUUUUCUUUAUUUUGUAAACGUGGGUCUCUCUAAUAGCACUGAAACAUGUUAUGCUGCUUUUUACUCCCCUUCCAUUAGUUAUGUAUUUCUUUCCACUUUUAAAGAUCUUUUGGAGUUUCCUGUGGAUUUAAUGUAAUAGGUCUGUCUGUCCUUUUGUCCACUUUCUCCUUUCUACUUCCCCUUCUUUGCUUUUAAAACUGGCAGAAAAGAAGAAAACUAAUGUUAUGUAGAGUUAGAAAGUUAUUGCUUGAGGGGUACUUUGCUGUUCUACAACUGCUGAACCCAGUAUGUCAGUUUAAUGUUCUAUGGUUGUUCUUUCUUAACUGGUUCCUUUUGCUGUUCCUGGAAUUACAAAGGAUUGCUGUGGUCAUUUAACUCUUCAUAGCACCUUGAUAGUAGCACACAGGAAACUUGCAGUUGCUAUAGAAAUAAAUAAAUUAAUCUGAAAACUGCAUCAUGUCAUGUUUUAGUGAGGAGUUGGUUUAGUAGUUUUCUUCUCUGUAAGAAACCUGCUAAUAAUAUGUAUCAAAAUAAUUUAAUAAAUUAUAUAUAUCUAAUGAGAUUCUUUUAAAAAUUUUACAUAAAGAAGAAUGUUAAUAGUCAACAGGGUGAAAUAUAUCAUGUUACAACUAUUGGAUAAAUGUAAGAGGGAUUUAAAUCUUAGCAUCUAAUGCUAUUUUGGUUUCUGUGAAAUGAUGUACUGUUGCAUUGCUGGUGGCAGUGGAAAUUUCUAUUUUGGUUAUUUAGCAUUUGCAUUAAAUGCAAACAAAGUUUAUGAUUAUCUAAUAGACUCAUUUCUAGCAGUUUAUUUUUUUUUGAGAAAUAAUUUUUUAAAACUAGAUGAAAAAUGUUCCUUGAGCUUUAUUUUAAAAAGAACAAAAAAUUUGCUAUUUCUAAUAUGAAACGGUGAGGACUUUCUAGUCAACUGGAUUUGGAGUAAGGGAGACUAUAGAAGAUUACUAAGCUAUAUAGGAAGGUUCUUGUAAACUUGGUGGUUAAAAAAUACAUAUAUGUUUGAUUUCACAAGUAAAAGUUAAUUUCUAGCUUCCUCAGGAUUGCUUCUUGGGUUACUACCCCCUUUUCUGAGGAUUUACCUUCCCCUUCAUUAGUACAGGUAGUUACAGUGAGAGUCAGAAUAACAAUUGGUAACCUGUAUGUCCAAGAGUAGAGUAAUAAUUAAGUAAAUUGUAUUCUUUCCAUUAGAUGUAAUACUAUGCGGCUAUUGGAAGUUACAAUUUUAAAAACUGGCUGUGUGAAAAAUGCUUUUGAUAGAAGAAAUUUUACAUAGUAUUGAUGAAGCAUCUUGUAGUGGAGAGAAUAUGGAUUUCGGCACAUCUCUAAAUCCUAGUCUUGAUGUUUUCUAAGGGGCUUUGGGUUAGUUACUUUGUCUGAGCCUCAGUUCUUCUCUAUAAAUAAUAUAUUCAUAAGUUAGUUGUAGAAUUAAGCAAAAUAUAUCAAGAGCCUACACAAUGCUUGGCUCAUAACACAACAUUUUAGGUUUUCAUUUUUGUUAUGUACGUAAAAUGUGUGCAUUGUGUGAAUUUGACUUUAUUGAAAUAGACAAGAUGAGAAUACUGGAAAUGAUUAUGUGUUAGGGUAGUAAAAUUAUAUUUUAAAUUUUGUAUGACAAUUUUUUUUAGAAUAAAAAUGUUUAAGGAAGAAAUGAUUUACUUGUUCUGCUAAAAUAAUGUAAUUAAUAAUUGUAGGAUCCUUAAAUUUAGUUGCAAUGGGAUUUUGUUAGGUUGCAUUAUUGGAUACUGUAUUUUCAGAUUUCAGAAGCUGAAGAUUAAAUAAUUGGUGUUCAACCUGUUUAAUAAAUUGUAAAAGGAAAUGCUCUGAAUUCAGGGAAAAAGAGGUGUUUACAUAUCUUCCUUGCUGUUGUUUUUUUU